AUGAACGCUGGCGGCGUGCCUAAUACGUGCAAGUCGAGCGAACAGACGAGGAGCUUGCUCCUCUGACGUUAGCGGCGGACGGGUGAGUAACACGUGGAUAACCUACCUAUAAGACUGGGAUAACUUCGGGAAACCGGAGCUAAUACCGGAUAAUAUAUUGAACCGCAUGGUUCAAUAGUGAAAGACGGUUUUGCUGUCACUUAUAGAUGGAUCCGCGCCGCAUUAGCUAGUUGGUAAGGUAACGGCUUACCAAGGCAACGAUGCGUAGCCGACCUGAGAGGGUGAUCGGCCACACUGGAACUGAGACACGGUCCAGACUCCUACGGGAGGCAGCAGUAGGGAAUCUUCCGCAAUGGGCGAAAGCCUGACGGAGCAACGCCGCGUGAGUGAUGAAGGUCUUCGGAUCGUAAAACUCUGUUAUUAGGGAAGAACAAAUGUGUAAGUAACUAUGCACGUCUGGACGGUACCUAAUCAGAAAGCCACGGCUAACUACGU
Molecule: ribosomal RNA, 495 nt
Filed under: uncultured bacterium
Lineage: Bacteria
Description: partial 16S ribosomal RNA
Rfam family: Bacterial small subunit ribosomal RNA
Source: RNAcentral